AAAAGAAACCMACAGGGAUUGCCUUAGUAGCGGCGAGUGAAGCGGCAAAAGCUCAAAUUUGAAAUCUGGCACUUUCAGUGUCCGAGUUGUAAUUUGAAGAAGGUAUCUUUGGGUCUGGCUCUUGUCUAUGUUUCUUGGAACAGAACGUCACAGAGGGUGAGAAUCCCGUGCGAUGAGAUGUCCCAGACCUAUGUAAAGUUCCUUCGAAGAGUCGAGUUGUUUGGGAAUGCAGCUCUAAGUGGGUGGUAAAUUCCAUCUAAAGCUAAAUAUUGGCGAGAGACCGAUAGCGAACAAGUACAGUGAUGGAAAGAUGAAAAGAACUUUGAAAAGAGAGUGAAAAAGUACGUGAAAUUGUUGAAAGGGAAGGGCUUGAGAUCAGACUUGGUAUUUUGUAUGUUACUCUCUCGGGGGUGGCCUCUACAGUUUACCGGGCCAGCAUCAGUUUGAGCGGUAGGAUAAGUGCAAAGAAAUGUGGCACUGCUUCGGUAGUGUGUUAUAGUCUUUGUCGAUACUGCCAGCUUAGACUGAGGACUGCGGCUUCGGCCUAGGAUGUUGGCAUAAUGAUCUUAAGUCGCCC
This 577-nucleotide ribosomal RNA is filed under the name Lodderomyces parapsilosis. RNAcentral describes it as "Candida parapsilosis partial large subunit ribosomal RNA". It matches the Rfam family "Eukaryotic large subunit ribosomal RNA", at positions 57 to 650 of the family's 3401-position model. The record is from RNAcentral. Lineage: Eukaryota; Fungi; Ascomycota; Pichiomycetes; Serinales; Debaryomycetaceae.